Molecule: long non-coding RNA, 1882 nt
Organism: Vidua macroura (Pin-tailed whydah)
Lineage: Eukaryota; Metazoa; Chordata; Aves; Passeriformes; Viduidae
Exons: 2
Source: RefSeq, a predicted model, not a curated record
UGGACCCCACCCCUCUACCACCUCCAUGCCCCCAGUGUGAGCUCUGGGAGGGGAAGCAGGCACCGGGCCAUCCUCAUGGGUCUUUCUCUAAGAACACUGCUGGGUAAAAGUUGCUGCUGCUGUGCUACAAGUGCAGGAGAAGAGAACUUGCGGAGGAGGAAGGCUGAGGAGGAGGAGGGGGUAGAGCUGGGAGGGUUCUGGGAAGUUGCUGCAUGCUUGAGGGGGGAGGCAAGAGAUGAGCUGGAGGAGUGAGGUGCUGGGAGACUGCCUCUAUGUGUGCGCAGCACACAGCUUAAAAGAAUUCAAGUUCCCAGGCCCAGAAGAGAUGAAAGUGAGGGAAUGUGGGAGUGACAGUGCUGGAUUCCUCCUCAGCUCCACUGAAAACUGGGAGCAGCCUGGAUUUCCAGCUUAUGGACCAGACUCUGCUAUGAUGCUGGUUACCUGGUUGCUCUGGCAAGUCCUUUGGCUGCCUUAUGCUUUAUUUCUCCUUCAAAAUAAGUACUAAUGAGGUUCAUCUCCUUAGUGAAGUAUUGAUAGUCCUUUGGAUUUAAAGGGAGCUUGUAAGAACAAAAUAGUAUGAGGAUUAUCACAACUGCUGUGCCAGAGGAUUGGAGGGGAAAACAUUGGUUAUGUCUCUCAAAGAGGCCAAAAGACGGCCAUGGGGAUUACAAAUGAGCAAAACCCCAUUUCAGUGUCCAGCAACUUGCUGGAAACAGUUCCCAAACUAAGGGCUGUGUUCAGAUGGCCACACUUUAAGAAAUCCCUCACAGGAAGCCUCCUCCAAAGGCAAAUACUCUCAGCUCAAUGACUGGCUGACAACUUUUUUGGGCUUUCUAAAUGCACAUAAGACAGCCAGAGCCAUCAGCAGGAAAAAAGCAGGAUUCUCCCCAAAAAGCCAUGGGAACCAUAAGCUGGGUGACUCACACAUGCACCAGUAGCAGGGAUGCCAACUCUGCUGCAAACAGAAAUGUUCACAUGAACCAUAGCCACCAUCCAAAGUUGGGAGUAAUCUUUUCCCCAAAAAGAAUGAAAUUAUCUUUUCUGUAGAAGAGAAGUUGAAAUGGUCACAAAGGGCAUAUGAAAGAGGGAGCAGGAGUAGUUUUAAUAAAAUAACACCUGCUAUGUUUUUCCUCUGGUAAAGGAAGAAGGGAAAUAAAUAAAAAAUAUGAAUGGCAAAAACCCCUUACAAUUGAUAAAAAGGAAAUAGCUAUACACACAGUUAAUAGCUAUAACGCACAGUUAAUCCCUGCAAUUCCUUGCUGCAAGGCUGAGGCUACAAUCCAACAGAGGAAAAAAAACCCACUUAAACAGGAUAAUGGAAACAUCCUGGGUUAUAGCAACAAGAGUAAACAAAAACUGUCAGUGUCAUUUUUUAAAGGAGUACACACACUUUCAACCAAGUAAGAAAAAGUUCCCCUGUGGUCCAUUUACUCCAAAAUUACAUGCCCUGCUGAACCAUUCUCUACUGCAGCCAGUGUGUCCUGCACCAGACAGGAUGCUGGUUUCAUGGACACUGUCCUGAUUUCAGGAAAUCAAGUAUUUCACUGUCCCCAACACUGCUAGGAAGGUGUGAGAAAAGGACUGUUCAACUGCUCUGUACCAGGCCAGCUCCCAUCACCCCAUCCCAUCCUAUCCUGCCAGCACAUUCUGCAUAACCAAGAAACUGCUGACUUUCCAACCAGAGGAGGUUUCUCCAUUAUGAAGGAGACUCAGGCACUCCAGAGAAGUCCACAAGGCCAUGUCAAUAAGCAAUGAUUUUUCUACAACCAGAGAUUAGAUGAGAAACUACAUUCUUCACUUCCACCUGCCUCUGACAGAUCUCUGUCCCUCUAGUACAGCACUUUCUGGACUAUUAUUAAACAGAGAUUCAGAAUCAGGCAAA